GAGCAGAAGAGAAAAACAACAGCAUAACAAAAUGCGUUAUUUUGGCAAAAUAACUGCAUAACGGAAUUAGUAAUUUUCAUGUUAUUAACAUAACAUAUUGAGUUAUAAACUUGGCUGUCAUAAGCGGCAAAAUAACAAGUCACAUAACAAAAAUUUGUUCCUGAAAAAUCAAUUUAAUAACAUGUUUUGUUAGUGGCAAUAACAACUUAAUAACAGUGAAUUUGGGAAAUAUUUCAAUAACAAAUUUUGAUAUUAAAGAGUUAUUGAUAACAUUUCGAAAGCAAAAUUAGGGUAAAAACUAACUUUUUUUACUCAUUUUUGGGUAAUUAUUUUAAGUGUGUUAUUCUAUUUUUAGAAAAUAACAGGUCACAUAAAAAAAUUUUGAAUUCAUUAUAAAACUUACAAACAUGGACGGGAUUUGAAACUCCAAUCCUGCUAUCGUAAAUUUUCAGUCGCCUUUACCAAUGAGGCUAUCACAGCACUUGCAGUGAGGGACGAUAGAAGCUUUACUGGUUCUACGUACUGCCAGUUUCCCUAUUCCCCCAUUUCAUGUUUGCCAGUCGCAGGACAAAAAUAGACAGAGAUUUGAAUGCAAGAUCAAACAAUGAACCUCUCUCUCUUACCAACAGCGCUAUCGCGGUGCGCAGACAUGCGCACUGAAACACUAAUAACAGUGGUGGCGUUCGCAUGGCCCGUCGUCGGCUGUUUCGGAACAAAGAGAACGACAAAAAAGUUGCUAGUCGACUAUUUAUGAUUGAGCUUCGUCAUGGGGUGCAUUUUGGCGGCGACAAAGAUUCUUUCCGGACGGAGAUGAUUUUUUUUUAUUUUUUGUUUUGUUCGCGUUGUGAGAACGGCGAUUAUACACGUACCUACGUGAGCGAAGGUAAAAGGUAAUUAUAUCAUAUGCCGAUAUGAUUACUUCUGCAGAUGCUGUUUAGUUUUAUUCUGUUUAGGAUUAUUUUUAGUAAUGAAAAACGAUAUUUAUGACAUAAUGUCAAACAAUAUAUGAUCGAAUAAUAAUAGAUCGAAAGAAAAAAGUUAUAAUAGACAAAUGCAAUCACCAAUUGAGCAGAAUUGUCUGUAUAGUUGACAUUUUUAUUGAUUAGAAUUAUUUAGUAGGUACCAUAUUUGCUAUCUCCACUCUCACUAACAUUCAUUACUUCGUAAUACAUAGUCUGUUCGGUACUUUUUGACGUUAUAAUUAGAGGUUAGAAUAGCAGUACUGUUAAAAUGACAUAUAAAUUCAACUAAGUUUACUCAAUUUUGAGAUAAAAAAAAACUCAUUUGCAGAUGUAUCACUUUUUGAAGCUAAAAUUAUACUUAACCUAUAAGAAUUGGGAAUCGUAGAAAAGUGAUAGGAAUUUGGCACCGUAACGGGACUGGGAUAUUGAAAAAAGGAAAUUAAUACAAAGAUAAACAUAUCAAUAGCUAUGAUGCUAUAUUUACCCAAAACUCAAAUUAUAGCAAUGAAUAAAAUAAAAAAUACGGAAGAGUCUGAUGAAAUUUCUAGAUAUUGCAAUGCCUUUAUUUUUUACUUCAUAAUAUGAAACAGCAGACAAUAAAAUAAAGCAGGUAAACUAUGUAAUGGUUAUAUCUGCGAUAAAUUUUCUCCGGUUUUGACAAUAUUGAUCUCAUUUGAUCCAGAUUUAUUUUUUCCAUCAAAAACAAAUCCGACUGAAGCGAUCUGGUCAUCGUGAGUUAAGAAAAAACCCGAAUUGCCAUACACGUGGAAUUUUCCAUAAACCAGCUGCAAUUGGCUUCUUUAGUGGUGUUGAGAUAAUUCCAUAUUCACAAUCUACAUGCCAAACUGAGCCGAAAUCCAAAUUUUUAUGAACUUUGGUACCGUAAUCCGGGGUAUCAUUGAUCAGCGGGGUAACAUUGAUCGGCUUGACCCACCUCAGGAAAUGUUCAAACAAGCAUUUUACAUUGAAUCAGUUUCUGCUAUCGAAUGGUAUAUCGUAAUCUGCAAUCAUUUAGCUAUUAAAUGACAUGCAAUUCAUGAAAAUUGAAUUUCAUAAACAUUGAAAUAAAUCGAUUUUUCCAUAACUGUGUUUCGUAACGCAAUGAGAUACAUUGUCAAACAUUCAUGCUUGGCGUGAAUACUAGAUACAGUAUGAGGUUUGAAAUCACUGUAUUACUUCAAUAUGAUAUCCUGGAGUUGGAUUAAAGAAAUGAAACUUCUAUGAAAGUGCUCUUUUUCAAUAAAAUAUACGAUUUUUUAAAAGAAGGCAUUAAAUUUCUUAAGCCAUUGCCUACCUUUAGGCGUUAUUCGCAGUUUAGAGGAUUUUAAUCUUUAAAUAACUUAAAAAGUACUAAACUUGUAAGAAUUUGGACAACAUAUUCGAAAUCAGCGUCCCCGAAUUUAGUAAGUAAGGGUAUUUUCAACACAAACGAACAUUGAUCACUAACAUGAUCAAUGUUACCCCAAAUCAACAAAAUCAAAAAUUAGAUUAAAAAGUCUAUUUAAACAUGUUUUAAAGUUUUACAAUACUUUUUCGAGUAGCUUAACAUAUACUUAGAGGGCCAGUACUUGUUUUAAAAAUAUAAAACAUGUAACGUUUGCUUUAACAAGAGAAUUAUUCAAGGUAGAACGAAAAUUCUGAUCAAUGUUACCCCGGAUUACGGUACCCGGGAACCUAUUUAAAAAUCGAUUUAAAGUUUGUAUGGGAGCGAUUUGUCGAAUCACCCCUCGUCGCAUUUCGUACUGGGCGGAGCUGUCAAGCAGUUGCCCAGCUGUCAAAAGGUGAUUUCAAAAAAUCUUUUUGUAAUUGAAUUUAGGUAUCAAAAUAAAGUUUUAAAAAUCUGAAAAAAAUCAUACUGGCUUAUAAAAAGGUGCUCUUUCGAAUAAAAUCAAAAAAUCAA
Long non-coding RNA from Aedes albopictus (Asian tiger mosquito), 2862 nucleotides. RefSeq lists it as uncharacterized. NCBI's taxonomy places the organism in Eukaryota, Metazoa, Arthropoda, Insecta, Diptera, Culicidae. The transcript has 2 exons. The record is from RefSeq and is a predicted model, not a curated record.